UUAUGUAUUUGUCUUUAUUAUUUCACCUGGAUAAUCUUCUCUCUGAUCCAAUUGUGUGCUUGUUAAGAAUCAAGGAAAAUGUCUUACAUCCUUUCAUCUCUUAGAGCUGCUGGACAAAUAGGUGCCAGUUUUUGAUGAUGGGUAUCGUGAAUGCUGUUGCAAAGGCCAAUCCCUAAAGAGUUGUUGAAGCUGCCUAACUGAGGUUCACCCACAAGUCUUCCUGAAUAAGAAAGUAGAGGAAUGAAACCAUGUUCCAGUUGAGCCCAUCAAGGUUUGAAAUAGAGCUCCAGAAGGGACUGAACCACACCUGGUCUUCAGGAUCCUUCUCUCAGUACCAUCAAUCAGACAAAUCAAGCCUCCAUGGGAAUUUUUACACAGAGAGACUAGGGAACAAGGAAGGGUCCCCUGUUCCAGGAUGCAGACUCAGCCAAGGAGACUACAAUACCACCUGCAUCUCACUCCAGCUGGAGAAGUGAAAACUCACAGCCACGAUGUUUGAGCGUCAAGCUCCAUGGGAAUCUACAGUUAUUUCAAAAUAAAAAAUUAAUUAAAAGAACGAAAAGAUGGAGGCAAAGUCAGGGAAACAAGUAUGGCCGUUUGUCAGUUAUGGCACGGCCUCAGAAUUGACAUCAUGAUGGCCAGUGAUCUGACUACUACAGAAUCCUCAGCCUUCAUGGAUUUGUUCACGUACUCCGCCAAGUGCUGCAGACAUCCUCAAGUUUCAGUGCCAAGAACUGGAGGAAAAAGGAUGUUUAUGUCAAUCAAAGAGCACUUGGAGCUUUCUGGUGGUCAUUCAAGGCUUCACCGCAUCACAUAGCCUUUUAAUAUACUAUUUUUGACCAUCCAAACAGACUGGUGGUCACAGGAGGUGUUUUGUUUUAUUUCCUCAAAGACAUGUGAACUCAUUUUUAACUUCAGCAUUGGUUUCCUGAAAAGCUGCUGGUGUUCAUAAGAUUCAGUGCAGCUGAACACAGGAGAAGCCCUUCUGUUGAGGUGGCCACCCACAGUGAAAACACUACAUCAACUGAGGGAGCCAAUCAUACCCUGCUGAUCCAGAGCCCCGUAGAACUCAAAAGAGGCUGGAGAAGGCAGAAGCGGCACCUCUUCUUAUUCAGUGAUUUGAUACCUAUGUCUAAUACCAAGUGCAUAUACAUUACAUGCUCUCCCACUUAUCAUACAGUUCCACGUUUGCUAACCCUUACUGUAAGAAAAUAUGACAGGCAGUGUCUGUCUUGCCUGGGGCUUACGAGACAGGUGAUAAAAAUAAGAGGGGGAAAUUACAGAUUGUGAUUAGUGCUCCUGAUACAAAGUAGCUAGGGUACCAUGUAGAAGAUGGUACCAUAUUACAGAGGGGUUGUCCAGGAGGACCUCUCAAGGUGGCAGCCUCUAAGCUGGACCUGUGGGGGGAGAAGCAGCCACCAUUUCUAGCCAAGGUGGCUGGGCCUUCUAGGCUGAGGGAGCAGCAGGCGUAAGUGGGUGCAGCUUAGCCCCCUGGAGGGAGGAGUUCAGGGAAAGCCAGUGUGACUGGAGCCUAAAGUGGGGGGCACGAUAUUGGAUAUGAUACUGGAGUCAGGAGUCCAGCCACACAGGGUCUCCACAGGCCUUAGUAAGGGGCUGAAAUACUAUGCUGAAGGGUGUUUAACUAGGACAGUAACCAUAUCUGGUUUAUAUUUUUAGCAAAAUUUUCUGACUAUUGGUAGAUGAUGGAUUUUUGAGUAAGCAAGAGUGGAAGCAGGGUGACAAGU
Aethalodelphis obliquidens (Pacific white-sided dolphin) is the source of this 1745-nucleotide long non-coding RNA. RefSeq lists it as uncharacterized. NCBI's taxonomy places the organism in Eukaryota, Metazoa, Chordata, Mammalia, Artiodactyla, Delphinidae. The transcript is spliced from 5 exons. The record is from RefSeq and is a predicted model, not a curated record.